RNAcentral lists this unclassified non-coding RNA (879 nucleotides) under Daphnia pulicaria. Its description in RNAcentral is "uncharacterized LOC124316573, transcript variant X1". Lineage: Eukaryota; Metazoa; Arthropoda; Branchiopoda; Diplostraca; Daphniidae. The record is from RNAcentral.
CACGGGUUUUACUUUCCCCAUGACUUUCCCCAACUCUUAACUACAGUCAGUUGCCUCGUGCCCUCGUGAUAAGAUUACAAAAACAAAAAUAAUGAAUUGUUCUGAAAUUGAUCAAGCUGCCGAAGCUGCUAAUGUGAGUGGAAUGCUAGCCGAAUUUGAUGAGGGACAAGAUUACUUGGAGACCUUGAUUGAAGAAGUAGCAGCUAUAAUAAAAGUAGACAAACGUUUUUGGAAGAUACGAGCAAUGUUGUCUGAGUUGCGCAAAGCAUUUGAUUCCAUCCAGAAACCUAAUAGUGAAUGUCUGGAAGAACAACUACAUUUUGAAAAGAAGUUGAUUUACUACUUGAGAGAAGAAACCACUGAAUCAACAACGAUUGAUGCAGUCUGCACAUGGAUUGAGAUUGAAGUUUCCAAAUCCAAGGUUUCUCUUCCUGCCUUGGUUUCUGCAGUGAUGCUCAGCUCUUUUGAAAUAAGCACGGAGGUCUUCAGGAUGAGCAAAGAUACUUCACUGAAGUUGAUGUAGCUGCCAGCCAGAUUCUGAUCUUUUUCAUCCAGGAUUUUCUCAGUUCAUCCCAUCAAAAAAAUACCAAAGCAUUGCUAUUUGAAAUCCUUUAUAUCCUGGUUGAAGAUGAGAAGUUUUUUUCUUUUUUUGCUGGAGAAAACAGAAAAAGUGGUAUGAUGUACUUACUGUGUUGCCUUCCUGAAAUUUCUAAAAGACAAGCUUAAUCCCAUUCGCAGAGAUCUUUGUCAGGCCAUGGUCAGGCUUAUGAUUGUUCCCUCCAUUAACAUUAAUUUCAAAUUUCAGUUUGUGAAACCGUAGUUCCCGUGGCUUACAUUGUUUCGGUUUUAAAUAAAGUUAUUGUCUAUCUAAAAUUUAAA